CCUACGGGGAGCAGCAGUGAGGAAUAUUGGUCAAUGGACGCAAGUCUGAACCAGCCAUGCCGCGUGCAGGAAGACGGCUCUAUGAGUUGUAAACUGCUUUUGUACGAGGGUAAACGCAGAUACGCGUAUCUGUCUGAAAGUAUCGUACGAAUAAGGAUCGGCUAACUCCGUGCCAGCAGCCGCGGUAAUACGGAGGAUUCAAGCGUUAUCCGGCUUUAUUGGGUUUAAAGGGUGCGUAGGCGGUCGGAUAAGUUAGAGGUGAAAUCCCGAGGCUCAACUUCGGAAUUGCCUCUGAUACUGGUCGGCGAGAGAGUAGUUGCGGUAGGCGGAAUGUAUGGUGUAGCGGUGAAAUGCUUAGAGAUCAUACAGAACACCGAUUGCGAAGGCAGCUUACCAAGCUACUUCUGACGUUGAGGCACGAAAGCGUGGGGAGCAAACAGGAUUAGAUACCCGGGUAGUC
RNAcentral lists this ribosomal RNA (460 nucleotides) under uncultured bacterium. Its description in RNAcentral is "partial 16S ribosomal RNA". It matches the Rfam family "Bacterial small subunit ribosomal RNA", at positions 338 to 795 of the family's 1533-position model. The record is from RNAcentral.